AUUCUUUUCUAGUUCACAAGCAUAAUGAUUGGCUGUGAAUACAUUCCUGUAACAUAUGCCUCCCUUAAGCCUUGUUAUGAGAUAGCACAGUAGCCAUUUGAUG
Molecule: small nucleolar RNA, 103 nt
Organism: Suncus etruscus (white-toothed pygmy shrew)
Lineage: Eukaryota; Metazoa; Chordata; Mammalia; Eulipotyphla; Soricidae
Product: small nucleolar RNA U13
Exons: 1
Source: RefSeq, a predicted model, not a curated record